Molecule: unclassified non-coding RNA, 5396 nt
Filed under: Orussus abietinus
Lineage: Eukaryota; Metazoa; Arthropoda; Insecta; Hymenoptera; Orussidae
Description: vacuolar protein sorting-associated protein 54, transcript variant X3
Source: RNAcentral
AUGGCGAAGAUUGUCAAGGUUUCUGAAUCGGUUGCGACGGUCCUCCUGUGCGAGUACUGCGCUAACCUCACUUUCAAGCACAUACAAGAUUUCGUCAGGCACCUGAGGGAACAACAUUGCUCCCGAGAAGGAGGAUCGUUCGUGUGUCGCUACGGCUACAAUGACGUAUGCUCUAGUCUCCCGGUGGAAGGUGUCUCCGAUAAGGAUUAUGUAGCCCAUGCAAGCAAGCACGCAGUGAUGCAGCAGCAAAGAAAGAGUAACGGACAGAUUUCUGAGCUACCUUCGUCAUGGACAAUAUAUUCUGCAGCGCAGAAUCUGCCAGCGGUACUUAAUGAUCCUACGAAAGGAAAACAAAGCAAUUUCUUUACAAAAACAUGGGGUGAUUCGUUUGUCGAAAAAACGGAUAUUCCUAAGAGUCCAUACCUUCCAGAAAUUACGGCUCAGCAUUUUGAAUCUUAUAUGAAAAAGAUUGCUCGGAGAUAUCGCAAGCAUGCCCGGAUGAGUUCAACUUCCACCCGACCAGUGUCUCCAAACGAAUUCCUACAGAACUUUCCAAAUCUUAAAAAAGUGAAGCUUUUGGAACGCUCUCAGUUUGAUCUUUCCAGUAUACCAAAAAUAUUUCUAAGCCAAAAUUUGGAUCUUUCACGCCGAGAUAAUUUCGAAGCGGUAUUUCCAUUCACGAAAGAAGGGUUGCUGGACAAAGAUGGCAAUGUCGUUGUUCAUGUUAAACUCAUGCAGGAGACGUUAAGCCACUAUCUGGAUAUUGUUGAAGUCAGGAUUGCGGAACAAGUUGCUUCGAAAUCUCAAGCGUUUUUUCAUGCUAUGACAUCGCAUGACGCACUCAUGGAGCAGCUUACUCAAACAAUAACGGUGUUAAAAGCGUUAAGGGAAAAUAUACAUCAGAUUGACAAAAAUCUCGUCACCGAUUCGUUAGAAGUUUUAAGACUGGAACGAGCGAGAUGCAAUCGAACAUUGGUUCAAGAGAAACUUAAAUUAAUGGCUACGGUUCACCAGAGUCAGCCUAUGAUACAAUUGUUGCUAUCUACUCCAGAUUAUGUAGCUGCUCUUGAUCUGAUCUCGACUACUCAAGAGAUACUUUAUCAAGAGUUAAAUGGCAUUCACAGUUUCAGACAUUUAAGUUCACAAUUGAGGGAAAUGGAACGACUCGUUGACAAGAUGUUGUCGACCGAAUUCGAGCGAUACGCUACAGCCGAUCUUAAUAGACCUUUGGGAGGAGAAAGCCUUGUUUUAGAUGGCGACAAGUUGGUUUCAAUAAUUUCCGGUCUGCUUCGCCAAAAGCAUUUCCAAUUUGUGGAUGCCUACAAAGAAGAGGCUAUUACCACAGUGAGAGCGGUGACCAAGGAACGAACUAUAGAAGCUUUGGCGGCAAGUGAUUGUUGCAGUGAUCAGCAGGCUGCUGCGUUGGAGGUCGGAGGCCUUUCCCUUGCCGAGAGGCUGACUCUUUUGCACAAAACGAUUCAGUCCCUUACUUCUCUUUUACAUCGAGUCAAGGCUGUUCACGAUGUUAUGCGAGAUACUGCCGAUUUGUCUGCCGGUCGUAGUCCCUAUGGUGCACUCGAUACAUCGUUGACGGACUGUUUACUGUCUUCUGAAGAGCAUUUUCGGAUUUCUAAUAAACUUGGUGAUAUGGUUACAUCGGUCUGUGAUUAUUGUCACGAGCGUCUAGGAUACCUUCUAUCGGCGGGUACCAAUGAAAAGGAGAAACUUCUUCCAACGGAAAAGGAAAAAGCCGUGAACGAGACUAUGCCCAUCAAAAGUACCGAUAAGGACAGUUCAACCUGGAACGAUAAGACUUCUUGGUUGGGUGACAGGGCUACUACUGCUCAAGUCUGUCAGUUAGCCUCUAUGGUCGAAGGGUUUACCGAGACUUGUGAAAAGCUUUGCGGAAAGCAGUGCACGGCGUUGCGGUCAGCAUUCAAGGCACAAGCUAGCAAAUUCGUGCAACGUUUUCAUUCGGAACGUAAGACAAAACUGAGUCUUCUUCUCGAGGCCGAAAGGUGGAAACAAGCCGAUGUACCGUACGAGUUUCAGUCCUUAAUAACGUAUGUGCACGAAAAUCAAGCUUUUCCCGUUAGUCUAGAUAAAUGCGAAGGCUCGCAGAGAAACAAGGUACCGGUUAACUUUGUAUCGGUAGGCGAAGAACAGUAUGCCGUAGUAGGAAGUGUCUUGAUACUCACUCAGAUGAUCCACGAAUAUUGCAGAGCGGGAAGUGAGUUAACGGCUCUGUCAGGUGCCUUAGGACGACAAUUGGCAGAACUUUUGCGUCAUUAUAAUUCCCGGUGUUGUCAACUUGUUCUUGGCGCGGGCGCUAUGCAAGCAGCGGGAUUAAAGAGGAUCACUAGUACAAUUCUGGUACUGACAUCGCGUAGUUUGAAGUUGGUUCUUUGGCUUAUGCCCUAUGUUAGGGCGCAUUUUCAAGAGCUCUCCAAUAAAAGUGCUGGCCGCGGUGUUAUUGGUGUCUGUGGUCCAAGUGGCGGAGUCGCUCUUUUAGAUAACGUGGAAAGAGACAUUCGUGCCCAUAUCAAGGAAAUAGAGGAUAAGAUCUUGACCGUUGUCGGCAAUCUUCUGAGCGGACAACUUUCCGAAUGGAAUGCUAGACCUCCUGUGCCGUCGCAGUAUUUCCGCACGAUUUCGAGGCAUCUCUCGAAGCUUCACGAGGCAGUUUCAGGGAUCCUACCUCCAUCGCAAGUGCAGUCAUUGUAUCGUACCGUAAAUGCUUCGUUUAAGGAAAAAUUGAGGGAACAGUUGAUGAAGCUGAAUAUCGUUAACGAUGGAGGACCUCAAUACUGUAUGGUUGCGACCGAACUGACAUUUUACCUGGAAGCCCUGAGAAGUUUGAAGAUUCUACCGACAGAGGAAUUAAAGGAUGAUUGGAUGAAUGAUAUAUGGACCAGAUAACAUGCAGAGCGAGUCGUGUACUGCAUUCUGGAAGCCAUGAAGCACUACAGAACGAGUACCAGCUCACAAACUGCAAAGACAUUGGUCUCGGAGGAAACUGGUCUUGAAAGGGAACUUCCGGAAAACAGCUCGGUGGACCGAUGGAUAGGUCGAUCAACCUUCGGCCAGUUAGUGCGUCGAAAAAAACGAGUAAGACAUACGCGCGAGAAGUAGUCCGUAAUGGUAAAGGGUUUUUAAACUGCAGUAUUUGGUAACCGUUCAUGCAGAAAAUGUAAGCGGCAUACCAGGACUAAAGUCCUCUCGGAAUUAAGAAUGUUUUGCUCCCUCAUCUAGGCACUACAAUUUUUUAUUAUUUCUUAGUAAUAUGUUAUGACUUAUCAUAUCUACGCUCGCUCGACAUCUUAUUACAGACUGAUAUAAAAUUAUCACAUCCGCAUCGAGAAGCGUACAAGCAAUUUAAGAGCAGAACAUGAUACUAAUAUACAAGUAUAUGCAUGCAUACGGUCGUUAAAUAGCUCGAAGAAGAAAGAGAGCUUGUCCAUUAUCUACGGAUCUGCGAUUGACAGAUCGGACAUGUACAUCCCUCUUUUUGAGCUUUACAUCUCACGAUAUACACUUCUUCGGUGCGGUCAUCGGAAAUUAUGAAAAUUUUAUCCAGCGAUGCAUGCAUUUACAUGUUAGUAUCGUGGGACCAAAGACGACCAUUCAGGUAGGUAGCAGGUUCAGAGUUAUUUCCUACAGGAAAAAUCACUUAUCGCCGAGUGGCCUAAAGCAAAUAUUUCUAGUCCUCCCUGUUAAAAAGCGGUUGUAAUUGAUGAAUGCUCUCGUUUGAACGAUAGCCAACGCAGAGUGGUGCAAACCGAAUGGUGCUAGUCAUUUACUAGCCAUUAGCUAGCUAAAGAAUAACCCUUUAGAUUUGAACGAGUUUAACGUAAUGUGAUUUACUACACCAAGAAUGAAUUUUAUACAAAUUCAAGGGAGGGCUAUGAAUUGGGCUUAAUGCGGUUUUCCGUAUUUCUCAUUCGCACCGAGCUAUGGAAAACUGUACAGUCCGAGAUAAUAGGUGAAUUAGAUAGUUGAGUUAGAUUUCAUACGUAGUUGUCGAGAAGACAAACGAAUUUCCACGCUGGAGGGGCUUACUGAACGCGACGUGCAUAUAAUUUUAAUUGAAUCAAACAACAGAAUAAAAAUAAGCAAAUAAAACCACUGCCACCUGGCACCGACCACUAUUGACCCUGUAAUUCAUCCGGGACAAGAAUUGGUAGUUACUUUUUAAUUUGACGCCUUAAGAGGUAACGAUGUGAGUAUUGAUGCUAAAUUAUGCCGAGGAAAGGUCGAGCAUUUAUACAUACUAAAUGAAACGCGAAGUAUAUGUAUCUUGGUUGCAGAUACGCACAUGUGUGCACAUUAAACAUCGUAUAUGUUAAUUGAAUAGAAGCGGUUGUAAAUAAUUAUUAUAUAUGAAAUGCUAAUGCCCCUGUUUAACGAUACUUAUUGUUAUCGAAAUUCAGGAAUGCAAAUUGUAGGGUGGAUCAAACAUCGAUAGGGGUAGAUCUUUUCCGGAAAUGAACGAAAGUAGAAAGUAUCAAGUCCUUUAAGUUUCAUCAUGUUAAUUAAUCAGCUUUUAUGUUGAAUAUGAACGCGCUUAGUAAACAAUUAAUAAACCCGAUUUAGUAGGAUAGUUGAUCACAAGAGACUAAAGCGUGAAAGGAAUUUGCUAUCUUAAGGAGGAUCCAAUUGACGUUGCACGUACAGAGAACGCGCAGGUUGCGUCCCGUUUUCAAUUAGUUGAGUGGCUACUACGGAUAGUUGCACUUGCGCAUUCCGAGCCUUUUCCCUUGUCUAGUCCCAUCUCUGUACAUAACAUUUAAAAACCCAAUGUCGAGGCAUUUGUUUAGGAAGUGGUUGUUCCUAUCGUGUCGGAAAAUUCUAUAGCGCUUGAUUUGUAACUUUGUACAUACAAAGAAAGUGUGCCCAAAAUUGCCCGCCUUGUGGAUUACUUUGAUAAAUGCUUGCGAAGAUGUUGAGUCGUAACGCGAUUGCUUCUGGGCUAAUUUUUCUUAAUAUUUAUUAAAGCAGAUUUUAGGAUCAAGACGGCUGUCUCAUUCUUCGGUAAUUCUGCAUACGACUCGUUAAUUUAUAGAGUAAUAUGAAACGUUUAGGUGUAAUAUAUUAUGUAUCUUGCAAUAACGUAGUCCCAUUGUAAGAAGUCAUACUAAAAAUUACACAUUAUACGAUAGUACAUUACAAAACGUGUUCUUUCGUUACGGCAUCCAAUAAGAAAGUAUGAAACAUUUUGCUCGACAUUGUAUUUGACAAAUUAUCAACUUUAUACAUAUGUAUACAUACAUGCAUACCUUACGCAAUGAGUACGACCGUCCGCCCGCGCUGACCCUCCGUGAAGAUCGAAACCUGCGCAUGCUCCGAUCGCGGCAUGCGUUACUCUAGAAACCACCUGCAAACAAACUUGUAACCCU